Long non-coding RNA from Oncorhynchus nerka (sockeye salmon), 8890 nucleotides. RefSeq lists it as uncharacterized. The transcript is spliced from 3 exons. NCBI's taxonomy places the organism in Eukaryota, Metazoa, Chordata, Actinopteri, Salmoniformes, Salmonidae. The record is from RefSeq and is a predicted model, not a curated record.
UCUUGCGCAGUGGAACCCAGAACGAUAUGUGACCAUUUGGUUACGGCGACACCAUUCUGCCGAGGACACCCAAACCAGAGUGGCCACCGCAAAGCCCAAGGUGCCUGACCCUCUCUGCAAGUUGCUGUCUCCCUUCGUGGGAUAGUUACCCUACAUUGGCUAUUGGUUGAGGCACGGGGCCUGUUCCAGCUGUGUAUGUCAGGGUGGGCAAUUGGAAAUGUGAAUUGGGCCAAGUUGGAGGACAAUGACCCAACACACCUCCCGGCAUUGUAAGGGCUAUUUGACCAAGAAGGAGAGUGAUGGAGUGCUGCAUCAGAUGACCUGGCCUCCACAAUCACCUGACCUCAACCCAAAUGAGAUGGUUUGGGAUGAGUUGGACUGCAGAGGGAAGGAAAAGCAGCCAACAAGUGCUCAGCAUAUGUGGGAACUCCUUCAAGACUGUUGGAAAAGCAUUCCAGGAAAAUGCCACGGGAACUAUCUGAUGUGUGGAGACGUUUCACUGCAGCUAAAAAGCUGUGUACAUUGGCAAAUACUGUUCCAAAUCAUAUGUAAAGAACGCAACAAAGUGCAUAAUGUUCCCUCAGCGCUCACAACGAGCAACCUCUGACAAAAGUCCCUCUACUUCUAUUCGAGGUGAAAACGAUGAAUCAGACACCUUAUCGAUAGCAACAGCUCUUGGAUUUUUUUUUUGACUCAAUGGAGGAACGUAGUCAGAGAAAUGCUGAUGAUUGUCUUGCUCUGGAUGCGUAUGCAACUGGUUCACCUCUGAUGCUCACAGGCAAUGCGUAUUGGAAGAGAUUUCUGAAUGUUCCUCGCCCAGCAUACACCCCUCCAACCAGACAUGCUUUAUCUACUAAUUUGCUGGAUGCAGAGUUCAACAGAGUUCAAGUGAAGGUGAAGCAAAUCACAGAGAAAGCAGACUGUAUUCUAAUGAUCUCUGAUGGUUGAAUGUUCGUGGGAAAGGAAUAAUUACCUACAUCAUAUCCACCCCUCAACCAAUAUUCUACAAGAGCACAGACAAAAGGGACAACAGACACACCGGUCUCUCUGCAGAUGAGCUGAAGGCAGUCAUCAAUGACCUUGGACCACAGAAGGUAUUUGCACUGGUGACAGACAAUGCUGGGAACAUGAAGGCUGCUUGGUCUAAAGUGGAGGAGUCCUACCCUCACAUCACACCCAUUGGCUGUGUGGCUCAUGAAUUGAAUCUGAUCCUCAAGUACAUGAUGGCACUGAAAACAAUGGAUACACUUUACAAGAGAGCCAAGGAAACUGUUAAGUCAUCAAGUUAUAGCAGCAAUCUACCUCACCAAGCAAAGUGAGAAGAAUAAGAGCACCACAUUCAAGCUGCCCAGCAUCACCCAUUGGGGUGGUGUUGUCAUAAUGUUUGACAGUCUCCUGGAGGGGAAGGAGUUUCUCCAAGAAAUGGCCAUAUCACAGUCUGCUGAUAUGGACAGCCCAAAUCAAGAGAAUCCUCCUGGAUGAUGUAUUUUGGGAGAGAGUGAUAAGCAGCCUGAAACCUAUAGCAGUAGCCAUUGCACGGAUUGAGGGAGACAAUGCCAUCCUGUCUGAUGUUCAGACUCUGCUUGUAGAUGUAAGAGAAGAAAUCCAUACUGCCCUGCCCACUUCACUGUUGCUCCAAGCAGAGGAAACUGCAGUUCUGAAAUACAUCAAAAAGCGUGAAGACUUCUGCCUGAAGCCCAUACACGCCACAGAGUACAUGUUGGACCCCAAGUAUGCUGGCAAGGGCAUCCUGUCUGGUGCAGAGAUCAACAAGGCCUAUGGUGUCAUCACUACUGUGUCUUGCCACCUUGGUAUGGAUGAGGGCAAGGUUCUUGGCAGUCUGGCAAAAUACACUUCCAAGCAAGGGCUUUGGGAUAGAGAUGCAACAUGAAAGUCAUGCCAACAUAUCUCAUCAGCCACCUGGUGGAAGGGACUUUGUGGAUCUGAGGCUCUUUCCCCUGUUGCCUCCAUCAUCCUCCAAAUCCCACCAACAUCAGCCACCUCAGAGCGCAACUGGUCCUUGUUUGGGAACACACACACCAAAGCACGCAACAGACUGACCAAUACAAGGGUUGAAAGAUUGGUGGCCAUCCGGGCAAAUUGUUGGAUUUUUGAGCCUGACAACGAGCCAUGCUCAACAAGGUUGGGAAGUGACAGUGAAGAUGAGGCCUCAGAGUCUGAUGUUCAAGAGCUGAACAUUGAGGAGGUCCACAGAGAAGUCAUGGAAGCCUUAGAGGAAGACAACCAAAGCUUUCAUUUCUAGACUAUCCUUUUACAGAUUUUUGGGGAGAUGUGAUAGAUCAUUGGGGAUCAUUCAAUAUUCCCUUUCUUUUGUUGAUCAGUGAAAUCAUCCCAUGUGAAGAGUCAACUCAUUUAAUUAAAGUUCAAUUCAUAACUAAAUUAUUAUUAUUUUUUCUGUUGGAAGGAUUUAAUCAUUUGCAAUUAAGUCUACUACGGUAAAAGGUUUAUGUUUCUGUCUCCAUAUGGUAUGGUAAAUAUAUCCAAUGCAAAAAACAUGUCACGCCCUGAUCUGUUUCACCUGUCCUUGUGCUUAUCUCCACCCCCCUCCAGGUGUUGUCUAUUUCCCCCAUUAUCCCCUAUGUAUUUAUACCUGUGUUGUCUGUUUGUCUGUUGCCAGUUUGUCUUGUUUGUUCAAGCCUACCAGUGGUUUGUCUCAGCGCUUGGUUUGCCCUAGUCUCUCGUCCUCCUGGUUCUUGACCUUUGCCUGUCUUGACCCCGUACCCACCCGCCUGACCACUGCCUUCUGUCCUGUACCGUUGCUCCACCUCUGGAUUAUCGACCUCUACCUGACCUGAGCCUGUCUGCCGGCCGGCCGGCCGGCCUGUACCUUGGCCUCUGCUCUGGAUUAUCGACCUCUACCUGACCUGAGCCUGUCUGCCGGCCGGCCGUCCUCUACCUUGGCCUCUGCUCUGGAUUAUUGACGCCUGCCUGGACCUGUCGUUUGACUGCACUUGUGGUUACAAUCAACAUGGUUACUUCACACUGUCUGCACUUGGGUCUUACCAUGAUUUCUGAUAAAACAUCUAAAUGGUAUUAAUAUUAAUUUGCAUAUAUUCACGUUAAUUCCCACGGAAAGUUUCCACCUUUGAAUAUUCCCCAAAACGUGCAACCCUAGGUACACUGAACAAUGUAGCUUUCUGAUAUCAGUCGCAAGAGCUUCAGGCUUAAAAUAGCAUAUUCUGCUCAGAUAAAUAUAGAUACGCAAUUAAGUCAGGAGAAAGAAAGAGAACCCUCUGUGUGUGUCUGUGUGUGUGUGAGAGAGUAAAGCUAUUUUAUGCACUUAUAUAAACCAUGCUCCAAUUUCAGAUGGCUGAUGGAUGGGUUGUGACCUCAGAGAGAAAUACAGUAUCUAGCUUCUGGUAGCUUGGAGGCUCAGUGAGUUGGCAGUAUUUAUAUUAUCAACCAUUAUACAAGUCAGUAUCCGAGGUCCAUGUCUGGGGACAGCCACUAGGGGGCAACAGUGAGCGCUGUUACCUUUUUUAAUUUAUUUCACCUUUAUUUCACCUUUAUUUAACCAGGUAGGCUAGUUGAGAACAAGUUCUCAUUUACAACUGCGACCUGGCCAAGAAAAAAGGAAAGCAGUUCGACACAUACAACAACACAGAGUUACACGUGGAAUAAACAAAACAUACAGUCAAUAAUACAGUAGAACAAAAGAAAACAAAAAGUCUAUAUACAGUGAGUGCAAAUGAGGUAAGUUAAGGAAAUAAAUAGGCCAUGGUGGCGAAGUAAUUACAAUAUAGCAAUUAAACACCGGAAUGGUAGAUGUGCAGAAGGUGAAUGUUCAGGUAUAGAUACUGGGGUGCAAAGGAGCAAAAUAAAUAAAUACCAGUAUGGGGAUGAGGUAGGUAGAUAGAUGGGAUGUUUACAGAUGGGCUAUGUACAGGUGCAGUGAUUUGUAAGCUGCUCUGACAGCUGGUGCUUAAAGCUAGUGAGGGAGAUGUGAGUCUCCAACUUCAGAGAUUUUUGCAAUUCGUUCCAGUCAUGGGCAGCAGAGAACUGGAAGGAAAGACAACCAAAGGAGGAAUUGGCUUUGGGGGUGACCAGUGAGAUAUACCUGCUGGAGCGCGUGGCUACGAGUGGGUGCUGCUAUGGUGACCAGUGAGCUGAGAUAAGGCGGGGCUUUACCUAGCAGAGACUUGUAGAUAACCUGUAGCCAGUGGAUUUGGCGACGAGUAUGAAGCGAGGGCCAACCAACGAGAGCGUACAGGUCGUAAUGGUGGGUAGUGUGUGGGGCUUUGGUGACAAAACGGAUGGCACUGUGAUAGACUGCAUCCAGUUUGUUGAGUAGAGUGUUGGAGGCUAUUUUAUAGAUGACAUCACCGAAGUCGAGGAUCGUUAGGGUGGUCAGUUUUACGAGGGUAUUUUUGGCAGCAUGAGUGAAGGAUGCUUUGUUGCGAUAUAGGAAGCCGAUUCUAGAUGUAAUUUUGGAUUGGAGAUGCUUAAUGUGAGUCUGGAAGGAGAGUUUACAGUCUAAUCAGACACCCAGGUAUUUGUAGUUGUCCACGUAAGUCAGAGCCGUCCAGAGUAGUGAUGCUGGACGGGCGAGCAGGUGCGGGCAGUGAUCGAUCAAAUAGCAUGCAUUUAGUUUUACAAGAGCAGUUGGAGGCCACGGAAGGAGAGUUGUAUGGCAUUGAAGCUCGUCUGGAGGUUAGUUAACACAGUGUCCAAGGAGGGGCCAGAAGUAUACAGAAUGAUGUCGUCUGCGUAGAGGUGGAUCAGAGAAUCACCAGCAGCAAGAGCAACAUCAUUGAUGUAUACAGAAAGAGAAUUGAACCCUGUGGCACACCCAUAGAGACUGUCAGAGGUCCGGACAACAGUCCCUCAGAUUUGACACACUGAACUCUUUCAGAGAAGUAGUUGGUAAACCAGGCGAGGCAAUCAUUUGAGAAACCAAGGCUGUCGAGUCUGCCAAUAAGAAUGUUGUGAUUGACAGAGUCGAAAGCCUUGGCCAGAUCGAUGAAUACAGCUGCACAGUAAUGUCUCUUAUCGAUGGCGGUUAUGAUGUCGUUUAGAACCAUGAGCGUGGCUGAGGUGCACCCAUGACUAGCUCUGAAACCAGAUUGCAUAGCGGAGAAGGUAUGGUGGGAUUCGAAAUGGUCAGUAAUCUGUUUGGCUUUCGAAGACCUUAGAAAGACAGGGUAGGACAGAUAUAGGUCUGUAGCAGUUUGGGUCUAGAAUGUCACCCGCUUUGAAGAGGGGGAUGACCACGGCAGCUUCCCAAUCUUUGGGAAUCUCAGACGAUACGAAAGGGAGGUUGAACAGGCUAGUAAUAGGGGUUGCAACCAUUUCGGCAGAUCAUUUUAGAAAGAGAGGGUCCAGAUUGUCUAGCCCCGCUGAUUUGUAGGGGUCCAGAUUUUGCAGCUCUUUCAGAACAUCAGCUAUCUGGAUUUGGGUAAAGGAGAAAUGGUGGGGGUUUAGGCGGGUUGCUGAGGGGGUGCAGAGCUGUUGGCUGGGAUAGGGGUAGCCAAGUGGAAAGCAUGGCCAGCCAUAGAGAAAUGCUUAUUGAAAUUCUCAAUUAUAGUGGAUUUAUCGGUGGUGACAGUGUUUCCUAGCCUCAGAGCAGUGGGCAGCUGGGAUGAGGUGCUCUUAUUCUCCAUGGACUUUACAGUGUCCCAGAACUUUUUUGAGUUAGUACUACAGGAUGCAAAUUUCUGUUUGAAAAAGCUUGCUUUAGCUUUUCUAACUGCCUGUGUAUAUUUGUUCCUAACUUCCUUGAAAAGUUGCAUAUCACGGGGGCUAUUCGAUGCUAAUGCAGAACGCCACAGGAUGUUUUUGUGCUGGUCAAGAGCAGACAGGUCUGGAGUGAACCAAGGACUAUAUCUAUUCCUGGUUCUCAUUUUUUUGAGAGGGGCAUGCUUAUUUAAGAUGGUGAGGAAGGCACUUUUAAAGAAUAGCCAGGCAUCAUCUACUGACGGGAUGAGGUCAAUGUUAUUCCAGGAUACCACGGCCAGGUCGAUUAGAAAGGCUUGCUCGCAGAAAUGUUUCAGGGAGCGUUUGACAGUGAUUAGGGGUGAUCGUUUGGUCGCAGACCCAUUAUUGAUGCAGGCAAUGAGGCAGUGAUCACUGAGAUCUUGAUUGAAAACAGCAGAGGUGUAUUUGGAGGGCGAAUUAGUUAGGAUGACAUCUAUGAGGGUGCCCGUGUUUACUGAUUUGGGGUUGUACCUGGUAGGUUCAUUGAUAAUUUGUGUGAGGUUGAGGGUAUCAAGCUUAGUUUGUAGGAUGGCCGGGGUGUUAAGCAUGUCCCAGUUUAGGUCACCUAGUAGCACGAGCUCAGAAGAUAGAUGGGGGGCAAUCAAUUCACACAUGGUAUCAAGGGCACAGCUGUUGGCAGAGGGAGGUCUAUAGCAAGCGGCAACAGUGAGAGACUUGUUUCUGGAAAGGUGAAUUUUUAGAAGUAGAAGCUCAAAUUGUUUGGGUACAGACUUAGAUAGCCUGCAGAGUUCUGUAUUACUAUAUUUGCAGUAGAUUGCAACACCGCCCCCUUUGGCAGUUCUAUCUUGGCGGAAAACGUUAUUGUUAGGAAUGGAAAUUUCAAGGUUUUUGGUGGUUUUCCUACGCCAGGAUUCAGACACGGCUAAGACAUCCAGGUUGGCAGAGUGUGCUAAAGCAGUGAGUAAAACAAAUGUAGGGAGUAGGCUUCUAAUGUUAACAUGCAUGAAACCAAGGCUUUUACAUUUACAGAAGUCAACAAAUGAGAGCGCCUGUGGGGUGGGAGUGGAGCUAGGCACUGCAGGACCUGGAUUAACCUCCACAUCACCAGAGGAACAGAGGAGAAGUAGGAUAAGGGUACGGCUAAAGACUAUACGAACUGGCCGUCUAGCACGUUCGGAACAGAGAGUUAAAGGAGCAGGUUUCUGGGCACGAUAGCAUAGAUUCAAGGCAUAGUGUACAGACAAAGGUAAGGUAGGAUGUGAGUACAUUGUAGGUAAACCUAGGCAUUGAGUAAUGAAGAGAGAGAUAUAGUCUCUAGAGAUGUUUAAACCAGGUGAUGUCAUCGCAUAUGUAGGAGGUGGAACAACAUGGUUGGUUAAGGCAUAUUGAGCAGGGUUAGAGGCUCUACAGUGAAAUAAGACAUUAAUCACUAACCAGGACAGUAAUGGACAAGGCAUAUUGAUAUUAGAGAGAGGCAUGCGUAGCCAAGUGAACAUAUGGGUCCAGUGAGUGGUUGGGCUGGCUGGGGACACAGCGAUUCAGACAGUUAGCAGGCCGAUGCUAACAAGCUAACAUUUAGUAGGCCGGGGUUAACAAGCUAGCAGCUAGUAGACUGGGGCAAGCUAGCAGUUAGCAGGCCGGGUUAGCAAGCAAGCAGUUAGCAUUGGCUAGCAGUUACAGACCGGGCAGGUAAGCUAGCAGUUAGCAGGCCGGGCCCGGCAGCUAGCAGUUAGCAGGCCGGGUUAGCAAGCAGUUAGCAGGGGCUAACAGUUAGCAGACCGGGUUAGCAAGCAAGCAGUUAGCCAGGGCUAGCAGUUAGCAGACCGGGCAGGCGAGCUAGCAGUUAGCCGACCGGGUUAGCAAGCAAGCAGAUAGCAGGGGCUAGAAAGUUAGCCUUUGGGGGACGUCGCGAUGGUGGUAAGUCUGUUUUGCCUCUUCGUGCGGUGACGUCGAUAGACCAGUCGUGGAAUUUGUAGGGUUCCAAGUAGCUCUAGGUAGCUAGCAGGCCUAGCUGGUUAGCAUAAUGGGCCUUCAGCGGGGGUCGCGCCUGAGGGGCCUGUUGGGAGUCCUCGGGCAGAUUAUUUCGGUAUUCCAGUCGUAGGGGAUCUGCGGGGUUCCAUGCCCCAUACCGGCUGUAGAAGGGGUCCGGAUAUUGUAGCCAAGGAGUAUACUUCGGUGGUAGCACAGGAGCCCUGGCCGGGCUAGCUUCAAGCUAAUUGGUGCUUGCUCUGGGAUGAAAACGCUAUCCAGGAGUAGUCAUCCGGGAUUGCGGUUAGCUAGUUGUGAAGAUCCAGAUGAAAAUGUUCAGUUUGCGGUAGGAAUCCGGGGAUAAAAAUAACAGGUCCGUUAUGCUCUAGUUAGAGUCACGUUGUUCGAACUGACGAGAGCUUUCCGAGCUGAAGGUUAGCUGAUGACCGCUGGUAAUGGUUUGCUGACUGAUAGCUGGUAGUUAGCUGGCUAGCUUCAGUUGAGGGAUUCCAGAUCCGAAGUAAAUAUAAAUACUUUAGGAAAAAAAGCAGAUCCACGCCACAUUGGGUGAGGCGGGUUGCAGGAGAGUAUUUAGAUGUUGAGGUUUAGCAAAAUAUUUUAAAGGAUAUGCGACGAAAAAGUUAAACGAUAUAUACAAGGGACAAUACAGGACAAAGACGUCUGACUGCUACGCCAUCUUGGAUACUAACCAAGAUACUAACCUACCGUCAAGUAGGUUUCGAUUUUGCUAGGACUUAGUGGAUAGAGAUCAAGUGUCAGCAUCUGCCUCUGAUUCCAAAGUUUGUAAGUUCAAAUCCACCAAUUAUAAAUUUGUUUUUGACACUGGUCAAAAACCAACAUCAAAUUUCAAAGUUGUUCCAAAAGUCACAUUUCAAAGAGUUUAAGGUUAAAAACAAAAAUAUUUAAACUCUCUAUCGCUGCAUUAUGCCUAACUUUAAGAAUUUAGAUUUAAAGCCUGAACUUAACCCUAACCUUAAAAAUGUGGAGUUAAAACUUAACCUUAAACACUUUGAAGUUAGACUUUUGGAGCAACUUCUAAAUGUGACGUUUGAGAACAUGAAUAAAUGUCUAAUUCUGAGCAAGCAGUUCCAGAAACACAGCUCUCACUGGCAACUGUCUUGUGCUACGAUGUCUGUCUGUGUUUGUGUUCCCUAUCUCUGUUAGAGUGCGUCAGUUUCUUGUUUUGUUGGUGGCAUUCAUAAUAAAAAUAAAUGUACGCUCACCA